AUGGAGCCCGCGGCGAUGGACCGCAUCGCCACCCAGCUCUCCGUCGUCGACGGCCUCUACUUCCCCACGACCUUCCUCCGCACCUCGCCACCGCCGCCGGCGUGCAAGUCGGCCCUGCUCGACUUCCUCUCCCGCGACGCCCUGCUCUUCCUCGAGGGUUUAGGACCUUGGCUUGCGCCCCCAUCGUCGCCGGAUGGCAUUGUUUGGAUGCUGUCGUGA
This 219-nucleotide ribosomal RNA is filed under the name Triticum aestivum (bread wheat). RNAcentral describes it as "partial small subunit ribosomal RNA". Lineage: Eukaryota; Viridiplantae; Streptophyta; Magnoliopsida; Poales; Poaceae. The record is from RNAcentral.